Molecule: ribosomal RNA, 910 nt
Filed under: uncultured Spirochaetota bacterium
Lineage: Bacteria; Pseudomonadati; Spirochaetota
Description: bacterial SSU rRNA
Rfam family: Bacterial small subunit ribosomal RNA
Source: RNAcentral
AACGAACGCUGGCGGCGUGUCUUAAGCAUGCAAGUCGAACGAGAACCAAUUAGUAGGGGUUUAGUAUUAUUAAACCCCUACAGGGGGAAGUGGCGAACGGGUGAGUAACACGUGGGUAAUCUGCCCUCGGAUGGGGGAUAGCACUAGGAAACUAGUGGUAAUACCGCAUAUUAUCACACUUCUAUAAGGUCGUGUGAUAAAAAGUGCCCUCUGCAUAUGGUACCGUCUGAGGAUGAGCCUGCGGGCUAUUAGCUUGUUGGUAGGGUAAGAGCCUACCAAGGCAACGAUGGCUAGCCGGCCUGAGAGGGUGUACGGCCACAUUGGGACUGAGAUACGGCCCAGACUCCUACGGGAGGCAGCAGCUAAGAAUAUUCCGCAAUGGGCGAAAGCCUGACGGAGCGACGCCGCGUGGACGAUGAAGGCCUUCGGGUUGUAAAGUCCUUUUCCUGGGGAAGAAUGAAGUCGAGAGUAACUGCUCGAUCGAUGACGGUACCCAGGGAAUAAGCUCCGGCUAAUUACGUGCCAGCAGCCGCGGUAAUACGUAUGGAGCUAGCGUUGUUCGGAUUUACUGGGCGUAAAGGGCUUGUAGGUGGCAAGACAAGUCGGAUGUGAAAUCUCCGGGCUUAACCUGGAAAUUGCAUUCGAAACUGUCUAGCUAGAGUGCCGGAGAGGGAAAUGGAAUUCCUGGUGUAGGGGUGAAAUCUGUAGAUAUCAGGAAGAACSCCGGUGGCGAAGGCGGUUUCCUGGCCGGAUACUGACACUGAGGAGCGAAAGCUAGGGGAGCAAACAGGAUUAGAUACCCUGGUAGUCCUAGCCGUAAACGUUGUGCACUAGGUGUAGGUGAGUUAAUUCACUUGUGCCGCAGCUAACGCAUUAAGUGCACCGCCUGGGGAGUAUGCUCGCAAGGGUG